This 506-nucleotide unclassified non-coding RNA is filed under the name uncultured Glomus. Its description in RNAcentral is "SSU rRNA". It matches the Rfam family "Eukaryotic small subunit ribosomal RNA", at positions 569 to 1078 of the family's 1831-position model. The record is from RNAcentral. Lineage: Eukaryota; Fungi; Glomeromycota; Glomeromycetes; Glomerales; Glomeraceae.
AGCAGCCGCGGUAAUUCCAGCUCCAAUAGCGUAUAUUAAAGUUGUUGCAGUUAAAAAGCUCGUAGUUGAAUUUCGGGAUCAAAGGAUCGGUCAUGCCUUGGUAUGUACUGGUUUUAUUGGUUCUCACCUUCUAAAGAACCAUAAUGUCAUUCAUUUGAUGUUAUGGGGAAUUAGGACUGUUACCUUGAAAAAUUAGAGUGUUUAAAGCAGGCUUACGCUUGAAUACAUUAGCAUGGAAUAAUGAAAUAGGACAUCAGAUUCUAUUUUGUUGGUUUCUAGGAUCGAUGUAAUGAUUAAUAGGGAUAGUUGGGGGCAUUAGUAUUCAAUUGUCAGAGGUGAAAUUCUUGGAUUUAUUGAAGACUAACUACUGCGAAAGCAUUUGCCAAGGAUGUUUUCAUUAAUCAAGAACGAAAGUUAGGGGAUCGAAGACGAUCAGAUACCGUCGUAGUCUUAACCAUAAACUAUGCCGACUAGGGAUCGGAUGAUGUUAAUUUUAUAAUGACUCU